Molecule: ribosomal RNA, 446 nt
Filed under: Stenotrophomonas sp.
Lineage: Bacteria; Pseudomonadati; Pseudomonadota; Gammaproteobacteria; Lysobacterales; Lysobacteraceae
Description: bacterial SSU rRNA
Rfam family: Bacterial small subunit ribosomal RNA
Source: RNAcentral
AUACAUGCAAGUCGAGCGAACAGAUAAGGAGCUUGCUCCUUUGACGUUAGCGGCGGACGGGUGAGUAACACGUGGAUAACCUACCUAUAAGACUGGGAUAACUUCGGGAAACCGGAGCUAAUACCGGAUAACAUAUUGAACCGCAUGGUUCAAUAGUGAAAGGCGGCUUUGCUGUCACUUAUAGAUGGAUCCGCGCCGUAUUAGCUAGUUGGUAAGGUAACGGCUUACCAAGGCAACGAUACGUAGCCGACCUGAGAGGGUGAUCGGCCACACUGGAACUGAGACACGGUCCAGACUCCUACGGGAGGCAGCAGUAGGGAAUCUUCCGCAAUGGGCGAAAGCCUGACGGAGCAACGCCGCGUGAGUGAUGAAGGUCUUCGGAUCGUAAAACUCUGUUAUCAGGGAAGAACAAAUGUGUAAGUAACUGUGCACAUCUUGACGGUACC